ACUACUUCUUGCUAUGAUCAUAAUUUUUUUUGAAUUUUUAAUAUUUUUCUGCUAUUUUCUUAUUUGCUGCAACAGGGAAUUGAUUGCUUUUAGCUGAAGAAUUGAGUUUUACUAUUUUUGUGUGCAUGAGACUACUGCAGGAACAGGGAAGAAUCAAGUGAUGAGGUCUUCUCUUUUCAGGGUUCUGGCCAAUGAGGAAUUCAAGAUUUUAGUGGCUUAGAUCACACCCACUACAGGAUAGAUUUACUGUACCUUUUUCAC
RNAcentral lists this unclassified non-coding RNA (261 nucleotides) under Hevea brasiliensis (rubber tree). The record is from RNAcentral. Lineage: Eukaryota; Viridiplantae; Streptophyta; Magnoliopsida; Malpighiales; Euphorbiaceae.